UGGGGAAUAUUGGACAAUGGGCGAAAGCCUGAUCCAGCCAUGCCGCGUGUGUGAAGAAGGUCUUCGGAUUGUAAAGCACUUUAAGUUGGGAGGAAGGGCAGUAAGCGAAUACCUUGCUGUUUUGACGUUACCGACAGAAUAAGCACCGGCUAACUCUGUGCCAGCAGCCGCGGUACUACAGAGGGUGCAAGCGUUAAUCGGAAUUACUGGGCGUAAAGCGCGCGUAGGUGGUUCGUUAAGUUGAAUGUGAAAGCCCCGGGCUCAACCUGGGAACUGCAUCCGAAACUGGCGAGCUAGAGUAGGGCAGAGGGUGGUGGAAUUUCCUGUGUAGCGGUGAAAUGCGUAGAUAUAGGAAGGAACAACAGUGGCGAAGGCGACCACCUGGGCUCAUACUGACACUGAGGUGCGAAAGCGUGGGGAGCAAACAGG
RNAcentral lists this ribosomal RNA (429 nucleotides) under Pseudomonadota bacterium. RNAcentral describes it as "Proteobacteria bacterium partial 16S ribosomal RNA". It matches the Rfam family "Bacterial small subunit ribosomal RNA", at positions 355 to 776 of the family's 1533-position model. The record is from RNAcentral. Lineage: Bacteria; Pseudomonadati; Pseudomonadota.